UACGUAGGGGGCAAACGUUGUCCGGAUUUACUGGGUGUAAAGGGUGCUCAGGCGGUUUUGUAAGUCAGAAGUGAAAUCCUAGAGCUUAACUCUGGAACUGCUUUUGAUACUGCAAGGCUUGAAUAUGGAAGAGGAGGGCGGAAUUUCUGGUGUAGCAGUGAAAUGCGUAGAUAUCAGAAAGAACACCAGUGGCGAAGGCGGCCCUCUGGUCCAUUAUUGACGCUAAAGCACGAAAGCGUGGGGAGCAAACAGG
RNAcentral lists this ribosomal RNA (253 nucleotides) under uncultured bacterium. Its description in RNAcentral is "partial 16S ribosomal RNA". It matches the Rfam family "Bacterial small subunit ribosomal RNA", at positions 524 to 776 of the family's 1533-position model. The record is from RNAcentral.